Trifolium pratense (red clover) is the source of this 1786-nucleotide long non-coding RNA. RefSeq lists it as uncharacterized. The record is from RefSeq and is a predicted model, not a curated record. The transcript is spliced from 2 exons. NCBI's taxonomy places the organism in Eukaryota, Viridiplantae, Streptophyta, Magnoliopsida, Fabales, Fabaceae.
GAGAAACCAAAUAACAACCAAAUCACAAAAUCACAGUUUCAUCAAUCAUCGCAAAUCCUCCUCCUCCGUCAAACCCACUCUCCUCCUCCGUCAAACCCACUCCCACCGGCGAAUCCUCCUCCGUCAAACCCACUCUCCUCCUCCGUCAAACCCACUCCCACCGGCGAAUCCAUCUCGUCCUCCGUCGCACAACCACUCACCAUCGACGACAAUCCAAUCAGCUUAAAUCGCAAAAUCAGCUUAAUCGGUGGGAGAGUCUCAUGCUAGCUCACAAGAAUACCGACCUCAUGAAGGUGGUAAAGCUGAUCCAUAUGGCUUUAAGCCAUUCUACAAGUCAAGUGGACGCAACAAAGCUGAUUCUGAAGUAACAAAGUACUUGGAUGAAAUAUUAGAGGAAGAAGGGGAUUUAGAUGUCCUAAUUUGGUGGAAGGAUAAUUGUACUCGAUAUCCAGUCCUUGCAAGAAUUGCAAGAGAAGUGUUGGCUAUACCAGUCUCUACGGUUGCCUCUGAAUCUGCCUUUAGUACCGGAGGGAGAGUGCUUGAUGCAUAUAGGAGUUCACUGUCAGCAAUAACAGUGGAAGCAUUGAUUUGCACACAAGAUUGGGUUAAAAAAAAACAUCAUGGCAUUGAGACAUCAUCUUUGGUUUCAUAUGAUGAUCUUAACACUCUACAGCAACUUGAGCAAGGUAAGAUUAAAAGAUAUCUUCUUUUUACUUACUAUAGUAAAUCUAUCUUUGAUUCUUUGUUUUAGCUGUUUUCUUGUAGCUGGUGCGGGUGUUGACUAGCCCUCGUGCUUGGUUGGCUAGAAGUAAUUGAUCAAUCUUGCUGAUGGGUUUUUUUUAUUUUGGCUUCAUCCUCUUGCGCCUCAAGUUUGCGUUGGAUGGUGUUCUCUCCAGCUUAGCCAGAAGCAUUUGGGUUGCUUUGUUUGGUUUUUUAACUUUGGUUUAGUUACUUUGUUUGACUGUUUCUUCAUUUUAGUUUGUCAAUUAGUUUUCUCUAGUUUGUAAUUUUUCUUCACUUCUUGCUGCGUGGUGGUGUUGUCUGAGUUAAUUCUUAGCUUGCGAAGUUAGCCAUGAUCUUGUAGAUGUAUAUGUCAGGAGCAAAUAUACAUCUCAGAGGCAUCCUAUAUUGACAAGUUGCACAUGGAUCUCAGAGGCAUGGUAAUAAUGAAUUCCUUUUUGUGUUUUGCAGAUUUUUUUAUCAAAUCUUGGUAGUUCUUCGGCUUCUACGAGGCUCGAUGACGAUUGAAGGUAAUUAUGUCCCAAUAUUAGUAAUUUUUAGGCUAUAAUGAUGGAGUUGAAUGAGUAUGAUGAGUUGAAUUAGGCAGUUAUAAUUAUCGUGACAGAUUAGUUUGCAUAGAUAUUGUCUAGUGAGUUUCAUUGUAAUAAUGCUGCCUAAGUCCUUCUGCAUAAUUGAACUGGUGUAGUCAGUAGUGUACUUAGCUAUUGUCUUGUGAGCUGCAUAAUUGAAAAUUAGUGCUUAAUUCUGGUAUUGUUCGCUGUCCUUCAGUAACAGAUUAGUUUGCAUAGAUAUUGUCUAGUGAGUUUCAUUGUAAUAAUGUUGCUUAAGUCCUUCUGCAUAAUUGAACUGGUGUAGUCAGUAGUUUGAUAUAACAUGUGUAAUAGCUCUUUGUGGUUGGAUCUCAUUAUUAUUUGAUUUGAUAUUAGAACAUGCAGAGUUUGUUCUCAGUUGAAUUGUACUGGCAUUUGUCUUUGGAAGUGAUGAAAUUGUGAACAAGUACUUCUUCUUUGUUAAAUUUCACAUCAUUCUUCUUACUUCUUCUUUA